GAUGAACGCUGGCGGCGUGCUUAACACAUGCAAGUCGAACGGAAAGGCUCCUGCUUGCAGGGGUACUCGAGUGGCGAACGGGUGAGUAACACGUGGGUGAUCUGCCCUGCACUUCGGGAUAAGCCUGGGAAACUGGGUCUAAUACCGGAUAGGACGAUGGUUUGGAUGCCAUUGUGGAAAGUUUUUUCGGUGUGGGAUGAGCUCGCGGCCUAUCAGCUUGUUGGUGGGGUAAUGGCCUACCAAGGCGUCGACGGGUAGCCGGCCUGAGAGGGUGUACGGCCGCAUUGGGACUGAGAUACGGCCCAGACUCCUACGGGAGGCAGCAGUGGGGAAUAUUGCACAAUGGGCGCAAGCCUGAUGCAGCGACGCCGCGUGGGGGAUGACGGCCUUCGGGUUGUAAACUCCUUUCGCUAGGGACGAAGCGCAAGUGACGGUACCUGGAGAAGAAGCACCGGCUAACUACGUG
RNAcentral lists this ribosomal RNA (466 nucleotides) under uncultured bacterium. Its description in RNAcentral is "partial 16S ribosomal RNA". It matches the Rfam family "Bacterial small subunit ribosomal RNA", at positions 28 to 507 of the family's 1533-position model. The record is from RNAcentral.